UGCAUAUCAAUAAGCGGAGGAAAAGAAACCAACAGGGAUUGCCUCAGUAACGGCGAGUGAAGCGGCAAAAGCUCAAAUUUGAAAUCUAGUACCUUCGGUGCUCGAGUUGUAAUUUGAAGAUGGUAACCUUGGGUUUGGCUCUUGUCUAUGUUCCUUGGAACAGGACGUCAUAGAGGGUGAGAAUCCCGUCUGAUGAGAUGCCCAUUCCUAUGUAAGGUGCUAUCGAAGAGUCGAGUUGUUUGGGAAUGCAGCUCUAAGUGGGUGGUAAAUUCCAUCUAAAGCUAAAUAUUGGCGAGAGACCGAUAGCGAACAAGUACAGUGAUGGAAAGAUGAAAAGAACUUUGAAAAGAGAGUGAAAAAGUACGUGAAAUUGUUGAAAGGGAAGGGCAUUAGAUCAGACUUGGUGUUUUACGAUUAUCUUCUCUUCUUGAGUUGUGCACUCGUAUUUCACUGGGCCAGCAUCGAUUCGGAUGGUAAGAUAAUGACAGUUGAAUGUGGCUUCACUUCGGUGGAGUGUUAUAGCUUCUGUUGAUAUUGCCUGUCUGGAUCGAGGGCUGCGUCUUUUGACUAGGAUGCUGGCGUAAUGAUCUAAUGCCGCCCGUCUUGAAACACGGAC
RNAcentral lists this ribosomal RNA (616 nucleotides) under Hansenula anomala. RNAcentral describes it as "eukaryotic LSU rRNA". It matches the Rfam family "Eukaryotic large subunit ribosomal RNA", at positions 37 to 666 of the family's 3401-position model. Lineage: Eukaryota; Fungi; Ascomycota; Saccharomycetes; Phaffomycetales; Wickerhamomycetaceae. The record is from RNAcentral.